UACAGAGGGGGCGAGCGUUGUUCGGAAUUACUGGGCGUAAAGGGCGCGUAGGCGGCCCGCUAAGUCGAACGUGAAAUCCCCAGGCUCAACCUGGGAACUGCGUCCGAUACUGGCAGGCUUGAAUCCGAGAGAGGUGAGUGGAAUACCCAGUGUAGAGGUGAAAUUCGUAGAUAUUGGGUGGAACACCGGUGGCGAAAGCGGCUCACUGGCUCGGUUCUGACGCUGAGGCGCGAAAGCGUGGGGAGCAAACAGG
RNAcentral lists this ribosomal RNA (253 nucleotides) under uncultured bacterium. Its description in RNAcentral is "partial 16S ribosomal RNA". It matches the Rfam family "Bacterial small subunit ribosomal RNA", at positions 524 to 776 of the family's 1533-position model. The record is from RNAcentral.